UACAGAGAGUGCGAACGUUGUUCGGAAUUACUGGGCUUAAAGCGCACGUAGGCGGCGCCGCAAGUGCGGGGUGAAAUCCCACGGCUUACCCGUGGAACUGCCUUGCAGACUGUGGUGCUAGAGGAUGGUAGGGGAGAGCGGAACUCCUGGUGGAGCGGUGAAAUGCGUAGAUAUCAGGAGGAACACCGGUGGCGAAGGUGGCUCUCUGGUCCAUGACUGACGCUGAGGUGCGAAAGCUAGGGGAGCAAACGGG
This 253-nucleotide ribosomal RNA is filed under the name uncultured bacterium. RNAcentral describes it as "partial 16S ribosomal RNA". It matches the Rfam family "Bacterial small subunit ribosomal RNA", at positions 524 to 776 of the family's 1533-position model. The record is from RNAcentral.